UACGGAAGGCAGCAGGGGGGAAUAUUGCACAAUGGGCGCAAGCCUGAUGCAGCCAUGCCGCGUGUAUGAAGAAGGCCUUCGGGUUGUAAAGUACUUUCAGUCGUGAGGAAGGUGUUAAGGUUAAUAACCUUAGCAAUUGACGUUAGCGACAGAAGAAGCACCGGCUAACUCCGUGCCAGCAGCCGCGGUAAUACGGAGGGUGCGAGCGUUAAUCGGAAUUACUGGGCGUAAAGGGCACGCAGGCGGUUAAUUAAGUUGGAUGUGAAAUCCCCGGGCUUAACCUGGGAAUGGCAUUCAAGACUGGUUAGCUAGAGUCUUGUAGAGGGGGUAGAAUUCCAUGUGUAGCGGUGAAAUGCGUAGAGAUGUGGAGGAAUACCGGUGGCGAAGGCGGCCCCUGGACAAAGACUGACGCUCAUGUGCGAAAGCGUGGGGAGCAACGAGAGUAGUAGACCUCCUGGUGGAAC
RNAcentral lists this ribosomal RNA (464 nucleotides) under uncultured bacterium. RNAcentral describes it as "bacterial SSU rRNA". It matches the Rfam family "Bacterial small subunit ribosomal RNA", at positions 340 to 796 of the family's 1533-position model. The record is from RNAcentral.